Molecule: long non-coding RNA, 714 nt
Organism: Oryzias latipes (Japanese medaka)
Lineage: Eukaryota; Metazoa; Chordata; Actinopteri; Beloniformes; Adrianichthyidae
Source: RefSeq, a predicted model, not a curated record
GGAGCUACAGCCCCCGAGCCGCGCGCACAAAGAGCACAUAUCUGCUUGAUGAUGCUGCGCGCGGCUGGUCACCCAUCUUUGCAGAAACAUCACAACAGGAUGAUCCCAGUGUCAUUAAAAAAAGAAAACUUUUUUUUUGGAAUGUUGGAACUUUUCAACUUCUGUGGAGAUUUUGCGCGAAAUUUACGCACCACCUGCGCGCGGGCACACCUGCUUCAACAGGAGCUGCAGUUCAGGGGUAGAAUAAAAGCCUUUUACUAAUCUGCAUCUCCUACAUCUGAGGACAGCUUCCGCGCUCUUCAGAAACAGAUGAUCUGAAGGAAAACCGCGCGCGUCACUGUCUGCUUCUGAAGACGCUUCCUCCUCCGGUGUCAGCGUGAAAAACACCAUGCAGCCUCCAGAAAGAAAACCUGACACUGUCGAUUAAAAUAUCCACUGUCCAGGGAUGAAAUGCCCCCCCCCCCCCGGUCUUUCUUUCUGUGUUCUCAGUGCAUCCUCUGCAAUCUUUUGACCCACCCACCCCGGUUCGGUGCUGCAGGAACCGGCUCUCUGUGCUCCUCUGUCAGGCCCAGAAGGCUCCAGUCCUGCCGCUCAGCUGUGGAGGAAACCUCCAUAAACGGUCACGGAAGCCAUGCUGGGCCUGCUAUGAAUUCUCCUCAUGAUUGUUUGUGUCAUAUUGUGUAGAUGUUUCAAUAGACAUGGCUUCCCUCCUCU